RNAcentral lists this transfer RNA (76 nucleotides) under Deltaproteobacteria bacterium. Its description in RNAcentral is "tRNA-Asn". It matches the Rfam family "tRNA". Rfam says of the family: Transfer RNA (tRNA) molecules are approximately 80 nucleotides in length. Their secondary structure includes four short double-helical elements and three loops (D, anti-codon, and T loops). RNAcentral also lists the same sequence under 1 other name. The record is from RNAcentral. Lineage: Bacteria; Pseudomonadati; Myxococcota; Myxococcia.
UCCCCGGUAGCUCAGCUGGCAGAGCAGGUGGCUGUUAACCACCCUGUCGGCGGUUCGAGUCCGUCCCGGGGAGCCA